ACGAACGCUGGCGGCGUGCUUCACACAUGCAAGUCGAACGGAAAGGCCCUGCUUUUGUGGGGUGCUCGAGUGGCGAACGGGUGAGUAACACGUGAGUAACCUGUCCUUGACUUUGGGAUAACUUCAGGAAACUGGGGCUAAUACCGGAUAGGAGCUCCUGCUGCAUGGUGGGGGUUGGAAAGUUUCGGCGGUUGGGGAUGGACUCGCGGCUUAUCAGCUUGUUGGUGGGGUAGUGGCUUACCAAGGCUUUGACGGGUAGCCGGCCUGAGAGGGUGACCGGCCACAUUGGGACUGAGAUACGGCCCAGACUCCUACGGGAGGCAGCAGUGGGGAAUAUUGCACAAUGGGCGGAAGCCUGAUGCAGCAACGCCGCGUGCGGGAUGACGGCCUUCGGGUUGUAAACCGCUUUCGCCUGUGACGAAGCGUGAGUGACGGUAAUGGGUAAAGAAGCACCGGCUAACUACGUG
RNAcentral lists this ribosomal RNA (467 nucleotides) under uncultured bacterium. Its description in RNAcentral is "partial 16S ribosomal RNA". It matches the Rfam family "Bacterial small subunit ribosomal RNA", at positions 29 to 507 of the family's 1533-position model. The record is from RNAcentral.